Molecule: ribosomal RNA, 900 nt
Filed under: Arthrobacter agilis
Lineage: Bacteria; Bacillati; Actinomycetota; Actinomycetes; Micrococcales; Micrococcaceae
Description: bacterial SSU rRNA
Rfam family: Bacterial small subunit ribosomal RNA
Source: RNAcentral
AGUGGCGAACGGGUGAGUAACACGUGAGUAACCUGCCCUUGACUCUGGGAUAAGCCUGGGAAACCGGGUCUAAUACUGGAUAUGACCUUCUGGCGCAUGCCAUGUUGGUGGAAAGCUUUUGUGGUUUUGGAUGGACUCGCGGCCUAUCAGCUUGUUGGUGGGGUAAUGGCUUACCAAGGCGACGACGGGUAGCCGGCCUGAGAGGGUGACCGGCCACACUGGGACUGAGACACGGCCCAGACUCCUACGGGAGGCAGCAGUGGGGAAUAUUGCACAAUGGGCGCAAGCCUGAUGCAGCGACGCCGCGUGAGGGAUGAAGGCCUUCGGGUUGUAAACCUCUUUCAGUAGGGAAGAAGCUGGUCCUUUUGGGGGUUGGUGACGGUACCUGCAGAAGAAGCGCCGGCUAACUACGUGCCAGCAGCCGCGGUAAUACGUAGGGCGCAAGCGUUAUCCGGAAUUAUUGGGCGUAAAGAGCUCGUAGGCGGUUUGUCGCGUCUGCCGUGAAAGUCCGGGGCUUAACUCCGGAUCUGCGGUGGGUACGGGCAGACUAGAGUGCAGUAGGGGAGACUGGAAUUCCUGGUGUAGCGGUGAAAUGCGCAGAUAUCAGGAGGAACACCGAUGGCGAAGGCAGGUCUCUGGGCUGUAACUGACGCUGAGGAGCGAAAGCAUGGGGAGCGAACAGGAUUAGAUACCCUGGUAGUCCAUGCCGUAAACGUUGGGCACUAGGUGUGGGGGACAUUCCACGUUUUCCGCGCCGUAGCUAACGCAUUAAGUGCCCCGCCUGGGGGAGUACGGCCGCAAGGCUAAAACUCAAAGGAAUUGACGGGGGGCCCGCACAAGCGGCGGGAGCAUGCCGGAUUAAUUCCGAUGCAACGCGAAAGAACCUUAACCAAGGCUUUG